This 1315-nucleotide long non-coding RNA is filed under the name Phasianus colchicus (ring-necked pheasant). RNAcentral's name for it is "lncRNA (ENSPCLG00000013875.1)". Lineage: Eukaryota; Metazoa; Chordata; Aves; Galliformes; Phasianidae. The record is from RNAcentral.
UGAGGGUGAAAUGAGGGGUUGGGGGUAAAGAUGGGGGUUUGGGGUCCCCCAAAAUGUCCGUUUUUGGGGGUUAAAAAUGGUCGAUUUUAGGGUUAAAAACGGCUGAUUUUGGGGUUAAAAAUGGGCGAUUUGGGGUUUUUGGAGGACCAGCAAAGGGGGAAACCUCUGGGUUUGGGGUCCUCCAAAAUGACCGUUUUGGGGGGUUAAAAAUGGUUGGUUUGGGGGUUUUGGGGGUCAAAAAUGGUCGAUUUUAGGGUUAAAAACGGGCGAUUUUGGGGUUAAAAACAGGCGAUUUGGGGUUUUUGGAGGACCAGCAAAUUGGGAAACCGCUGGGUUUGGCGUCCCCCAAAACAACCGUUUUUUGGGGUUAAAAAUGGGCGAUUUGGGGUUUGGGGAGGACCAGCAAAUUGGGAAACCGCUGGGUUUGGGGUCCCCCAAAACGACCGUUUUUUGUGGGGGACGCUUUGAGGCUGGAAGGGACAAGAAGCGAAAGCACUGGGACGUUUUGGGGUAAAAAAGGCCCCUUUUGGGGUUUCCCCCCCCGCGCAGACAGCCCCGCUGCCCUCACCCUCCGCGUGCUGCCGUCCCCCAACGUGAGCCACGGGGGGAGCUUCAGCGUGGAGUGCGGAGCCGAGGGGGUCCCGACCCCCACCUUUGGGUGGGCGCUGCCCCCUGCCCCCAACCUGCGCUUCGGGGCCGACAACCGGUCGGUGGAGGUGGAGAACGCGGCGGCCGUCAACCGCGGGCGCUACACCUGCGUGGCCGUCAACCGGCACGGCCGGCGCGUGGGCAGCGUGGUGGUGAGCGUGGAUGAGAGCCGGCUGUCCCUGCUGCUGUCCCUGUCCCUGCUGGGUUCCGUCACCGUGCUGGCAGCGGCCGCGUGGGGCAUUUAUUACAUGAAAAGCACCGCCUGUAAGAAGGGAGAGUACAACGUGCGCGACGCCGAGGGUUCCUCUGAGGCCUCCCGCCUACACCGGGGGGACAGCGGGGGACAACGGGAGCUGUUUGGGAUCCCUCUCACCCCCACCUGAGGGACCACAGCACCCGGGACCCCCGGAGCACGGGGAGGUGGGGGACAGCGUGGUGACACCCGGCCCGAGGGAUGGUGGUGGGUGUCACCGUGCUGUGCCUGUGGUGGUGGUGGCUGUCACCGCGUUGUUCGCAAGAAGCUGUGUUGGUUGUCGUCGUAUGUCCCCAAGAAAUGGUGUUGGUUGUCUCCAAGGAACGGUGUUGUUGGAUGUCUCCAAGAAACGGUGUUGGAUGUCACUGUGCUGUCACCAAGGAACAGUGUUGUUGGAUGUCCCCAAGGAACGGU